CUAAAGAUUACUUUACAAAUUGUUCUGAUUUCUUACUUCAUGUACCAAUAGUAUAACAUCCACAUAUUCUGUAAAAUUUAUAAAGAUUGAAAAAAAAAAAAAAUUGUCAAAGUUUUAUGAUUUGAAUUUCAACUGAACUCAACUAAUUUGAAUAAUGAAAAUGAGUUGUCUCCCAUUGAAUGAACAAAUCUUGCUGUUAAUAAAACUAGUCUCCCCUUGAGAUAUAAUCCCUAUCUCAGGAUUUACUCCAGUAAUUGUGAUAGAAAUUCUUGUUAAUGUAACUGGUAUCUCAAAAUAUUAAACUGGUAAAUACAUUCUUCAAAGAUGUUUUUCACGCAGAAAAAAAAGAUGAAUAUGCACUUUUUAUCAAAUAUUUCUAGAAAAUGUAUAAAAAUUGUUUGACUUCAAUAAACUUGCCUUCUCAAUUUCAUGGUAAAGCCUCAGACUUGGUUGAAGAUUUUAUUGACCAUCUUCCUUAGAGCUGCUCUCCUGGCUGCCAGGGUGGCUGUCAUCAUUAUCUGAUUGUCAAUCUGUCAUUUUUUGGUCCAUUAUUUAUAGAAAUGAAUAAAGAUAUCAGAUGCACUUUCAAUUAAUCUCCUAUCUUGAAAAUUUCACCAAAUCAAUUCUACAAGAAGUAACCCAUGAUUUCUCCCACCCUCAAAUCUAUUAUCUAGAGCUCUGUUUACAUUUUUUUAUUUACAGAACUCUGAAUAAUAGUCCUUAUUAGCUAGUAUACAUCUGAUAUUAAACCCAAAACUUGUACAAAUGUGAAAUUAAAGUAAAUAGUUAUAUAUUCCCUACCAUGAGGAAAUUUCAAGAAUAAGGAGUUAAACAGGGGAAUAAUAAAUUACCUCCCUUUGCCAAAAAUUUCACCUGUUUGGACUCCACAUCAUUGCUAUAUCUAACAACAAAAAAAUGGUAUAGCUAUAAUUAAAAAUAAAUAAUUUGAUAUAAAAUAUUCAAACAUUUAAAAAAAAUAUUUAGUACAUCAAUUUUCAAUUUGGUGGUUCUCUCCCAUUACUCUGACUUUCUCAACCAAUAAAAAAAAAUGGCCACCAAGAUAUAAUCAAUAUUGCUGAAAGUGAUGUUUAACACUAAAA
This 1100-nucleotide long non-coding RNA is filed under the name Mytilus galloprovincialis (Mediterranean mussel). The record is from RNAcentral. Lineage: Eukaryota; Metazoa; Mollusca; Bivalvia; Mytilida; Mytilidae.